GGAGGUAGUAUCUGUAUGUCCUUAGGUGGCUGGAGGUAUAGCUGUGUUGUGGUGAAGCAAGCACAUAGAAUUAUUAACAGAGGAGUAGUUUUUGUUUAAAAAGGAAAAGCAGUUCUUGAUGUGGCUAGAGAGAACAUGAUGGUUCUUGGCUGCUAGGAGGUGCUGGACCUGGGUGCUGCUCCACUACAGUUCAUCUGAGUUGUCUGAAUGAUCACACAGAUGUUACAACAACCACAAGCACGUUCACUGGGAGAGAAUCUAAGGAUGAAUUAACAUGCUCACAAGAUAACUACCAUUGUUCCUCACUGCCUUGGAGAAUGGCCUCAGUAGGGCCAGAGUUAACGCUGGAUGUGGAGAUCUUCCUUCUAACCAGGGAUGUAACCUGGUACUAUCUGAUGAUACAACACAGCAGGAAAGCCUGGGUUUGGUCACUCCUUCUGUUGGGGUACAGAUCUUGCCAUAUGUUACAAGACCUGGUAAUCUGUUCACAGCUGUGUGUGAUCUUUGCCUCCAAAUUAGGCUUCACAGUAUUUCUUUCAGUAUCCACUGAAGCACAAGGAGGUAAGAUGGAGAACACAACAGAGUAGCCCAUAUCUAGAAACCAAAAUGGGGCAGGGAAAAGGAAAGUGCUCCAGCAAGCAGGGAAUGGCACUUUCCACUUAGCUGAGUUGUGUUGGGAGCUGAGGCUCUUCCUAUGCUUUUCUACAGCUGGGUGGCAGCAUUUCUGCAGCAAUUCAUGUGUAUGGUAAGUUAAUUGCUCAAAGUUGUUUUUUUUUUUUAGGGAUCAGAUGUUAUGUGCUUAUUUCUCUCAACUGUGAUUACCCUUUUUAGAGCAACAUAAAGCUCACGAAAUCUUUGUUACAUGUCAGUAAUAGUGAGUGCUAGUGAGAUGUUACUGCGAAUCAGUAGGUGCAAGAUCUUACAAAAUGAGCAGGAGUUUAUAAAACUGUAGUGCAGACACUUGUCUGCUGUCCAUCCUCUCUCUUCUGGCAUUUGGUGUCUUCUGUUACAUUCACAGUCUGUGUUCAGGAUUCCCCAACUCAAACACCAGUUUGCUUCAUUUACAUACAUGUGCGAAGAUGAAUUCAAAUGAACUGACUGCCUCAAAGACCUGAACUGAUAUAGUUUCCUCCACUGCAUUUCUCAUUUAUCCAUGCCACUGUUCACCUUCUACACUAGCAAAUUAAGAUUUAACUUCAAGGCUGAAUUUUGCAAGCUUAAAAUUUAAAUAAUUGUAUUUUAUUUGCAUCAGAAGGAAAAGUUCCUCACCAUUAUAUUUACUUCAUUGUGAAAUUAUCAUAGCGUAAUCACAUAUCCUUUUUAUAUCUCCUAUGGUUUUUUGCCCCUCACCAUGAAAUUUACUUUUCUGGGUAAUUUUUAUCUGUCCUUUGAACUCAUUCUUGUGUUCCCCUGUCCUUUGUGUAACUCAUUUUUUGAAUGAAUGUGGUUUUCUAGCAACAUUUUAUUAGUGCUGUAUACAUAACUGCUGUCAUUACCCAGCUUUUAAUGGUUAUUUUCCAUUUUAUGGAGGGUGCUCCAGACAUACCCUGACAUCAGGCUGAGCCAGUUACUGUGUCUGUGCGCUGUAAUCCUGCCACCAUUACCUGGUGCUUGGCUGUGUUAAAACAGAUUUGGUUGGAUUGUGACUGUUCAGUGGGCAAUUCAGAUGGUCUUGUAUCGGUGACCUGUCUUCAUUUAUUACUGUACUGAACUUUGUUAACUGCAAACUUUAUCAGCAAAAAUUUUAUAUCACUCGUAACAAUAUUGAACAGUGCUUGAUCGAGCACUGAUCUCUGGGACAACCACCAGUGAUGUUCAUGUUAACUGAAGCUUUCCCAUUAGCAACUCAAUUAAAGACCUGCUACUAAGUCAAUUUUUAAUCUAUUUUAUGUAUCCUUUUAGUACUACUUGGUAUCUUUGUUGAAAAAAAAAAAAAAAAAAACCCAAACCAAAA
Gymnogyps californianus (California condor) is the source of this 1954-nucleotide long non-coding RNA. RefSeq lists it as uncharacterized. The transcript is spliced from 3 exons. The record is from RefSeq and is a predicted model, not a curated record. Lineage: Eukaryota; Metazoa; Chordata; Aves; Accipitriformes; Cathartidae.